AAGUCGUAACAAGGUUUCCGUAGGUGAACCUGCGGAAGGAUCAUUAGUAGUGUUUGAGCUUAAAAGUGAAGGCGCAAGCCUGAACUUUUAAGCGAGCGAGGGUGGAGGAAAGAUACUGCUAGCACUAUGUGAUACAGUAUUAAUCCACACCCAGUCACGGGCGCUCGCAGGAGCGCCUUGUAACAAGUAAUUUACAUCUAAAUCAUACAAGCAAAACUUUUAACAAUGGAUCUCUGGGCUCCU
RNAcentral lists this unclassified non-coding RNA (243 nucleotides) under fungal sp. Its description in RNAcentral is "partial internal transcribed spacer region". The stretch from base 1 to 46 matches the Rfam family "Eukaryotic small subunit ribosomal RNA", at positions 1786 to 1831 of the family's 1831-position model. The record is from RNAcentral. Lineage: Eukaryota; Fungi.